Molecule: ribosomal RNA, 2000 nt
Filed under: Campylobacter jejuni
Lineage: Bacteria; Pseudomonadati; Campylobacterota; Epsilonproteobacteria; Campylobacterales; Campylobacteraceae
Description: partial 23S ribosomal RNA
Rfam family: Bacterial large subunit ribosomal RNA
Source: RNAcentral
ACCAAACCCUAUCAAACUCCGAAUACCUUAUAUGUAAUCACAGCAGUCAGGCGGCGAGUGAUAAAAUCCGUCGUCAAGAGGGAAACAACCCAGACUACCAGCUAAGGUCCCUAAAUCUUACUUAAGUGGAAAACGAUGUGAAGUUACUUAAACAACCAGGAGGUUGGCUUAGAAGCAGCCAUCCUUUAAAGAAAGCGUAAUAGCUCACUGGUCUAGUGAUUUUGCGCGGAAAAUAUAACGGGGCUAAAGUAAGUACCGAAGCUGUAGACUUAGUUUACUAAGUGGUAGGAGAGCGUUCUAUUUGCGUCGAAGGUAUACCGGUAAGGAGUGCUGGAGCGAAUAGAAGUGAGCAUGCAGGCAUGAGUAGCGAUAAUUAAUGUGAGAAUCAUUAACGCCGUAAACCCAAGGUUUCCUACGCGAUGCUCGUCAUCGUAGGGUUAGUCGGGUCCUAAGUCGAGUCCGAAAGGGGUAGACGAUGGCAAAUUGGUUAAUAUUCCAAUACCAACAUUAGUGUGCGAUGGAAGGACGCUUAGGGCUAAGGGGGCUAGCGGAUGGAAGUGCUAGUCUAAGGUCGUAGGAGGUUAUACAGGCAAAUCCGUAUAACAAUACUCCGAGAACUGAAAGGCUUUUUGAAGUCUUCGGAUGGAUAGAAGAACCCCUGAUGCCGUCGAGCCAAGAAAAGUUUCUAAGUUUAGCUAAUGUUGCCCGUACCGUAAACCGACACAGGUGGGUGGGAUGAGUAUUCUAAGGCGCGUGGAAGAACUCUCUUUAAGGAACUCUGCAAAAUAGCACCGUAUCUUCGGUAUAAGGUGUGGUUAGCUUUGUAUUAGGAUUUACUCCGAAAGCAAGGAAACUUACAACAAAGAGUCCCUCCCGACUGUUUACCAAAAACACAGCACUCUGCUAACUCGUAAGAGGAUGUAUAGGGUGUGACGCCUGCCCGGUGCUCGAAGGUUAAUUGAUGGGGUUAGCAUUAGCGAAGCUCUUGAUCGAAGCCCGAGUAAACGGCGGCCGUAACUAUAACGGUCCUAAGGUAGCGAAAUUCCUUGUCGGUUAAAUACCGACCUGCAUGAAUGGCGUAACGAGAUGGGAGCUGUCUCAAAGAGGGAUCCAGUGAAAUUGUAGUGGAGGUGAAAAUUCCUCCUACCCGCGGCAAGACGGAAAGACCCCGUGGACCUUUACUACAGCUUGACACUGCUACUUGGAUAAGAAUGUGCAGGAUAGGUGGGAGGCUUUGAGUAUAUGACGCCAGUUGUAUAUGAGCCAUUGUUGAGAUACCACUCUUUCUUAUUUGGGUAGCUAACCAGCUUGAGUUAUCCUCAAGUGGGACAAUGUCUGGUGGGUAGUUUGACUGGGGCGGUCGCCUCCCAAAUAAUAACGGAGGCUUACAAAGGUUGGCUCAGAACGGUUGGAAAUCGUUCGUAGAGUAUAAAGGUAUAAGCCAGCUUAACUGCAAGACAUACAAGUCAAGCAGAGACGAAAGUCGGUCUUAGUGAUCCGGUGGUUCUGUGUGGAAGGGCCAUCGCUCAAAGGAUAAAAGGUACCCCGGGGAUAACAGGCUGAUCUCCCCCAAGAGCUCACAUCGACGGGGAGGUUUGGCACCUCGAUGUCGGCUCAUCGCAUCCUGGGGCUGGAGCAGGUCCCAAGGGUAUGGCUGUUCGCCAUUUAAAGCGGUACGCGAGCUGGGUUCAGAACGUCGUGAGACAGUUCGGUCCCUAUCUGCCGUGGGCGUAAGAAGAUUGAAGAGAUUUGACCCUAGUACGAGAGGACCGGGUUGAACAAACCACUGGUGUAGCUGUUGUUCUGCCAAGAGCAUCGCAGCGUAGCUAAGUUUGGAAAGGAUAAACGCUGAAAGCAUCUAAGCGUGAAGCCAACUCUAAGAUGAAUCUUCUCUAAGCUCUCUAGAAGACUACUAGUUUGAUAGGCUGGGUGUGUAAUGGAUGAAAGUCCUUUAGCUGACCAGUACUAAUAGAGCGUUUGGCUUAUCUUUAAUAAAGCAU